AUUGAACGCUGGCGGCAGGCUUAACACAUGCAAGUCGAGCGGGGUGAUGGUGCUUGCACUAUCACUUAGCGGCGGACGGGUGAGUAAUGCUUAGGAAUCUGCCUAUUAGUGGGGGACAACAUCUCGAAAGGGAUGCUAAUACCGCAUACGUCCUACGGGAGAAAGCAGGGGAUCACUUGUGACCUUGCGCUAAUAGAUGAGCCUAAGUCGGAUUAGCUAGUUGGUGGGGUAAAGGCCUACCAAGGCGACGAUCUGUAGCGGGUCGGAGAGGAUGAUCCGCCACACUGGGACGGGGACACGGCCCAGACUCCUACGGGAGGCAGCAGUGGGGAAUAUUGGACAAUGGGGGGAACCCUGAUCCAGCCAUGCCGCGUGUGUGAAGAAGGCCUUAUGGUUGUAAAGCACUUUAAGCGAGGAGGAGGCUCUUUUGGUUAAUACCCAAGAUGAGUGGACGUUACUCGCAGAAUAAGCACCGGCUAACUCUGUGCCAGCAGCCGCCGUAA
This 503-nucleotide ribosomal RNA is filed under the name uncultured bacterium. Its description in RNAcentral is "partial 16S ribosomal RNA". It matches the Rfam family "Bacterial small subunit ribosomal RNA", at positions 30 to 523 of the family's 1533-position model. The record is from RNAcentral.